Lycium barbarum (goji berry) is the source of this 877-nucleotide long non-coding RNA. RefSeq lists it as uncharacterized. The record is from RefSeq and is a predicted model, not a curated record. The transcript has 4 exons. NCBI's taxonomy places the organism in Eukaryota, Viridiplantae, Streptophyta, Magnoliopsida, Solanales, Solanaceae.
CAAAAAAAAAAAAACGUUGAAGACAAAAACAAAAAAAGCUCGGCCAUGGAGCAAUGUUAACCGAGAGGGAGAUUGGAGAAAAAGAAAAAUUUGAGGUGUGAAAUUGUUGUAACAUUCAAGUGAUUAGCAAGGUUAAGAAGCCAAGUUGAUUAAGGCUAAAAGAGCGACGAGACGAACGGGUUACGAAUAGCCGCUAACAGUAUGCUGUGUUGUGGCGCCAGUGACGGGGUGGCGACCACGUUCUGUUCACCGAGUCCUAAAACGGGGCCGGAUAUGGCAUAUGGUUGACAUGCAUUAUCUAUGUUUUGUGAGUACAGACGUUCGUUCAGGUAACCCGCCAGUGUAGGGUACUUAUUCUGCUGUUUGGAGUACUCCUUUUGAUCCGGAGCUCAUAUUUUUGGUACCUAUCUUUUGUGAUACAUGUUUCUGUAUAUCUGAUUAUUUGGGGUACGGCGGGGCCCUGUCCCGCCAUAUAAUUCUGUCAUGGUUUGUAGAGGCCUGUAGACAUAUAUGUGGGUCAUGGGUUAUGUUUGUUCGAAUAUGUUUGUGAUUUGUGCCUUAAGCGGUCCCGUUUGCUAUUAUGGCCAAGACGGCCCAUCUGUUUGUAUAUGUAUGUAUAUCUGGGCGAUGUGUAUUCCGCCAGCCUACCGGAUUUGAUUUGAUGUUUCUGUACGGGCAACCACUUAAGAUGACAUUUGUUCUCAGUAUCUGAUUAAAAUAACGUAUGUUAAGUUUGAAUAAAUCUUUGGUAUGUCGAUCUGGUACGAGAUUCUGUUAGGGUGUCCAAAUAGGGCGCUAGUCGCGGCCCACGGGGCUGGGUCGUGACAGGAAGAAAAGGAAGAAGUAGCUCAGAACAAUGGAAAAGGCUGUAGUUGUA